RNAcentral lists this ribosomal RNA (274 nucleotides) under uncultured bacterium. RNAcentral's name for it is "partial 16S ribosomal RNA". It matches the Rfam family "Bacterial small subunit ribosomal RNA", at positions 523 to 796 of the family's 1533-position model. The record is from RNAcentral.
AUACGGAGGGUGCGAGCGUUGUUCGGAAUUAUUGGGCGUAAAGAGCAUGUAGGCGGUCUGUUAAGUCUGGUGUGAAAGCCCGGGGCUCAACCCCGGAAGUGCAUUGGAUACUGGCAGACUUGAGUAUGGGAGAGGAAAGCGGAAUUCCGAGUGUAGGAGUGAAAUCCGUAGAUAUUCGGAGGGACACCAGUGGCGAGGGCGGCUUUCUGGACCAAUACUGACGCUGAGAUGCGAAAGCGUGGGGAGCGAACAGGAUUAGAAACCCGAGUAGUCC